AUGGAGCUCCUGGAUCACCACCUCGUCAUCGUCUCCCUUAACUUCGCCGUGCACCAGGCAUGGAGUUCAGGACCGGGCUCCUUCACCAGAGCGAUCCCCUUCGCCCCCUUCGCCGCUGGAGUGGGCCUUGAGCGUCGUGCGGCGGAGGCCCUAGCACGCAAGAUCAGGGCUUCCGGCGUUGUAGAAGGCCAUCGGUGGGCUUCAGGGUUCGGCGGCGUGUGUUUGGAUGAUGAGAUAUGGGAAAUAAGGUACCAUUUUCAAGGGAAAGACAACUUGGAAAGGACCAUUUCUCUGUCAGAAAUCACUUAUAUUAACAUGUUAGCACUGCUAGGGACUGAAGAGGGAUAUACUGAAGCUGACUACAUGUUCUAUAUGAAAGAAGAGGGAAAGGGGGCAGCAGGGAUGCAGGUUAUUGACAGUGAAGAGAGUGUGGAGGAGAUGCUAGACCAUUAUGCUGAGCAGAAGGUGCUCAACAUAACUGUAAUUAAGGCUAAUGAGCCUAAUCUAGGAGAGUUUAACAGGGCAAAUAUUGUGGAGGAACAAGUACCUAUAAAUAAUGUGGGGGAUUCCAACAUUAUUUCUAUAGAUGAGGCAGGGGUAUUGUUCCCUAUUUCUGUUGAAGACACAGUUGAGGAGUUGUAUGCUGUUCCUAUUGCUGUUGUAGAGCCAGGUGAAGAGGCUGCUUACAUUAAUACACAAGAAAGCAUGACUUUGAGAAAAGCAAAGGGCAAAGAGAAAUUACAGGAAGAUGUUAGCCCCUCUGAUGAUGAAGGGUUUGUUGAUUUGAACUGGUGUGAGGAGAAAGAGGAAGAGCAUGACAUAGGUAAUGAGGAGGAAGAUGAAAUCAUUGAGAAGUUGAAGCAGAAAAGGAAACAGAGAGAGGAUCCUAUGCAUCACUUUGAAGGAGACACAGAAGUGGAAGAGAUGUGUCCAGAGGCAGAGGACUCAGACACAGAACCUGAGACACCACUUCCUCAAACAUUUAAGAAAGUAGGCAAAGCAGGCCCCACUACAAGAUCACUCCAUGAAGCUGACAUUGAGGUAAUUCCUGAUUUCAUUCCAUCAGAUGAUUCAUCUUGUUUCCCUAGGGACUAUGGCAUUAGUGAAUCAGAUGAUGAGUCAGGUCUACCACUGCCUUGUGGAAGGAAGAGUCAAGCCAAGAGGGCCAGGACUAGGAUCUGAACAUCAAGUUGUUGCACACUUGUGGUGCACAUGGAGAAAAAAACAAAAGUGACAGUUGACUGGAUGGCCAGAACCUGUGAGCAGCAACUGAGAGAUAAUCCAAGGGCUGGUGUUGAUGCAAUUUUAAAAAGAACAAAGACUAAGUAUGGGCUUGAAGUGCCAAAGACAAAGGCCUACAGGGCAAGGUCAUUGGCCAUUGAAGUGGUGGAAGGUGACAUGAAGGGACAAUAUACAAGGUUUAGGGAUUAUCUUCAAGCUGUGCUUGAUACCAACCCUAGGAGCAGAUGCAUUGUGACUACCACGGAGCUUGAGCUCCAUCCUAGUCCAAAUCCUAGGUUACACUACAUGUUCUACUGUCUGAAUGCUUCAAAAGAAAGUUUCUUGAGUGGGUGUAGGCCAUUUAUAGGUUUAGAUGGCUGCUUUAUCAAGCUUUCUACUGGGCAACAGAUACUUGUUGCCACUGGGAGGGAUGGGAAUAACAACAUAUCCCCUAUUGCAAUUGGUAUUGUUGAUAAGGAGGACAAGGAUAGUUGGACUUGGUUUCUUAGCCAGUUAAGAGCUUGCAUUGGAGAAGGGAACAAGUGGGGCACAUACACAAUCAUCUCUGAUAGACAGAAGGGGUUGUUGAAUGCAAUUCAAGCUGUGUUCCCACACUCACCUCAAAGAUAUUGUCUUAGACAUAUCUAUGCAAAUUUCCAGUCAGCGGGCUACAUGAAUCCACCAGUGUUCAAAGAGAAGAAGGGCAGGAAGCAAACAGCUAGGAGGAAGGGGCAAUUUGAGGUCCCAACAAGGAAGGAUACAUCAAGGAUGGCAACUAUCACCUGCAGCAACUUCAAGAUGCAGAAACAUAGGUACACCUAUUGCCCUCAGACCCUGAAGCCUCAUCUUCAGGCAAGAAAGGACAAGCACAAGACAACCAGAACUCACUACCAUGAAGCUGGGGGGAGUUCUGCUGCAUCUGCCCAGCCUGCAACCAGUGCACCACCUGCUGCAACAACUAGGGGAAGAAGAACAACUUCUGGUGGUCCUUCCCAGACUGCUACAUCUACAAGGGGAAGCAAAACAACUGUUGCUGCUAUUAGUCCUGCCCAUCCUGCUGCUUCUACAAGGCCAAGAAGAACAACUGCUGCUACUACUCCUUUCCAGGCUUCCACAAGAGCUUCAGGUUCAAGCAAUGCACCCAGCAGGAGAGGUGGAAGGCCCUACAUGGCACCUAGGGCUGCAACUACAACAGAGGGAGCAACAGUAGGGUCCAAAAGGAAGAGGUUCCAGAACACCAGGAUGAGGGGUUACUUUUAUGCUAGUGGCAACUAG
RNAcentral lists this ribosomal RNA (2496 nucleotides) under Triticum aestivum (bread wheat). RNAcentral describes it as "partial small subunit ribosomal RNA". Lineage: Eukaryota; Viridiplantae; Streptophyta; Magnoliopsida; Poales; Poaceae. The record is from RNAcentral.